RNAcentral lists this ribosomal RNA (117 nucleotides) under Schumannella luteola. Lineage: Bacteria; Bacillati; Actinomycetota; Actinomycetes; Micrococcales; Microbacteriaceae. The record is from RNAcentral. RNAcentral also lists the same sequence under 1 other name.
UUCGGCGGCCAUAGCGAGAGGGAAACGCCCGGUCACAUUCCGAACCCGGAAGCUAAGACUCUCUGCGCCGAUGGUACUGCAAGGGCGACUUUGUGGGAGAGUAGGACACCGCCGGAC